This 465-nucleotide ribosomal RNA is filed under the name uncultured Klebsiella sp. RNAcentral describes it as "bacterial SSU rRNA". It matches the Rfam family "Bacterial small subunit ribosomal RNA", at positions 338 to 795 of the family's 1533-position model. Lineage: Bacteria; Pseudomonadati; Pseudomonadota; Gammaproteobacteria; Enterobacterales; Enterobacteriaceae. The record is from RNAcentral.
CCUACGGGGGGCAGCAGUGGGGAAUAUUGCACAAUGGGCGCAAGCCUGAUGCAGCCAUGCCGCGUGUGUGAAGAAGGCCUUCGGGUUGUAAAGCACUUUCAGCGGGGAGGAAGGCGGUGAGGUUAAUAACCUCAUCGAUUGACGUUACCCGCAGAAGAAGCACCGGCUAACUCCGUGCCAGCAGCCGCGGUAAUACGGCGGGUGCAAGCGUUAAUCGGAAUUACUGGGCGUAAAGCGCACGCAGGCGGUCUGUCAAGUCGGAUGUGAAAUCCCCGGGCUCAACCUGGGAACUGCAUUCGAAACUGGCAGGCUAGAGUCUUGUAGAGGGGGGUAGAAUUCCAGGUGUAGCGGUGAAAUGCGUAGAGAUCUGGAGGAAUACCGGUGGCGAAGGCGGCCCCCUGGACAAAGACUGACGCUCAGGUGCGAAAGCGUGGGGAGCAAACAGGAUUAGAUACCCGGGUAGUC